This 391-nucleotide ribosomal RNA is filed under the name Cytobacillus firmus. RNAcentral describes it as "bacterial SSU rRNA". It matches the Rfam family "Bacterial small subunit ribosomal RNA", at positions 552 to 942 of the family's 1533-position model. Lineage: Bacteria; Bacillati; Bacillota; Bacilli; Caryophanales; Bacillaceae. The record is from RNAcentral.
UAUUGGGCGUAAGCGCGCGCAGGCGGUUCCUUAAGUCUGAUGUGAAAGCCCCCGGCUCAACCGGGGAGGGUCAUUGGAAACUGGGGAACUUGAGUGCAGAAGAGAAGAGUGGAAUUCCACGUGUAGCGGUGAAAUGCGUAGAGAUGUGGAGGAACACCAGUGGCGAAGGCGACUCUUUGGUCUGUAACUGACGCUGAGGCGCGAAAGCGUGGGGAGCAAACAGGAUUAGAUACCCUGGUAGUCCACGCCGUAAACGAUGAGUGCUAAGUGUUAGAGGGCUUCCGCCCUUUAGUGCUGCACCAAACGCAUUAAGCACUCCGCCUGGGGAGUACGGCCGCAAGGCUGACUCUCAAAGGAAUUGACGGGCGCCCGCACACGCGGUGGAGCAUGU